This 422-nucleotide ribosomal RNA is filed under the name uncultured bacterium. RNAcentral describes it as "bacterial SSU rRNA". It matches the Rfam family "Bacterial small subunit ribosomal RNA", at positions 355 to 774 of the family's 1533-position model. The record is from RNAcentral.
UAAGGAAUAUUGGACAAUGGAGGCAACUCUGAUCCAGCCAUGCCGCGUGAAGGAAUAAGGCCCUAUGGGUUGUAAACUUCUUUUAGACGGGACAAAACCCCUUUACGUGUAAAGGGUUGAUGGUACUGUCAGAAUAAGCAUCGGCUAACUUCGUGCCAGCAGCCGCGGUAAUACGAAGGAUGCAAGCGUUAUCCGGAAUUAUUGGGUUCAAAGGGUGCGUAGGCGGACUAAUAAGUCAGUGGUGAAAGCCUGCAGCUUAACUGCAGAAUUGCCAUUGAUACUGUUAGUCUUGAGUACAGUUGAGUUAGGCGGAAUGUGUCAUGUAGCGGUGAAAUGCUUAGAUAUGACACAGAACACCGAUUGCGAAGGCAGCUUGCUAAGCUGUAACUGACGCUGAGGCACGAAAGCGUGGGGAGCAAACA